RNAcentral lists this ribosomal RNA (408 nucleotides) under uncultured bacterium. RNAcentral describes it as "partial 16S ribosomal RNA". It matches the Rfam family "Bacterial small subunit ribosomal RNA", at positions 28 to 526 of the family's 1533-position model. The record is from RNAcentral.
GACGAACGCUGGCGGCGUGCUUAACACAUGCAAGUCGAACGAAGUGGCGAACGGGUGAGUAACGCGUAAUCAACCUGCCCUUCAGAGGGGGACAACAGUUGGAAACGACCGCUAAUACCGCAUACUGAAGUAGGGGAUUGCGUCUGAUUAGCUAGUUUGAGGGGUAACGGCCCACCAAGGCGAAGAUCAGUAGCCGGGCUGAGAGGGUGAACGGCAACAUUGGGACUGAGGCACGGCCCAGACUCCUACGGGAGGCAGCAGUGGGGAAUUUUCCGCAAUGGACGAAAGUCUGACGGAGCAACGCCGGGUGAGUGAUGACGGCCUUCGGGUUGUAAAGCUCUGUUGUUCGGGACGCGGUACCGGAAUAGAAAGCCACGGCUAACUACGUGCCAGCAGCCGCGGUAAUUC